This 467-nucleotide ribosomal RNA is filed under the name uncultured bacterium. RNAcentral's name for it is "partial 16S ribosomal RNA". It matches the Rfam family "Bacterial small subunit ribosomal RNA", at positions 28 to 506 of the family's 1533-position model. The record is from RNAcentral.
GACGAACGCUGGCGGCGUGCUUAACACAUGCCAGUCGAACGGAAAGGCCCUGCUUUUGUGGGGUGCUCGAGUGGCGAACGGGUGAGUAACACGUGAGUAACCUGCCCUUGACUUUGGGAUAACUUCAGGAAACUGGGGCUAAUACCGGAUAGGAGCUCCUGCUGCAUGGUGGGGGUUGGAAAGUUUCGGCGGUUGGGGAUGGACUCGCGGCUUAUCAGCUUGUUGGUGGGGUAGUGGCUUACCAAGGCUUUGACGGGUAGCCGGCCUGAGAGGGUGACCGGCCACAUUGGGACUGAGAUACGGCCCAGACUCAUACGGGAGGCAGCAGUGGGGAAUAUUGCACAAUGGGCGGAGGCCUGAUGCAGCAACGCCGCGUGCGGGAUGACGGCCUUCGGGUUGUAAACCGCUUUCGCCUGUGACGAAGCGUGAGGGACGGUAAUGGGUAAAGAAGCACCGGCUAACUACGU